CCUACGGGUGGCAGCAGUGAGGAAUAUUGGUCAAUGGGCGGGAGCCUGAACCAGCCAAGCCGCGUGAGGGAAGAAGGUACAGCGUAUUGUAAACCUCUUUUGUCAGGGAACAAAGGCGGGGACUAGUCCCCGGAUGAGGGUACCUGAAGAAAAAGCAUCGGCUAACUCCGUGCCAGCAGCCGCGGUAAUACGGAGGAUGCGAGCGUUAUCCGGAUUUAUUGGGUUUAAAGGGAGCGUAGAUGGGUUGUUAAGUCAGUUGUGAAAGUUUGCGGCUCAACCGUAAAAUUGCAAUUGAUACUGGCAGCCUUGAGUACAGUUGAGGUAGGCGGAAUUCGUGGUGUAGCGGUGAAAUGCUUAGAUAUCACGAAGAACUCCGAUUGCGAAGGCAGCUUACUAAACUGCCACUGACAUUGAUGCUCGAAAGUGUGGGUAUCAAACAGGAUUAGAUACCCGGGUAGUC
This 460-nucleotide ribosomal RNA is filed under the name uncultured bacterium. Its description in RNAcentral is "partial 16S ribosomal RNA". It matches the Rfam family "Bacterial small subunit ribosomal RNA", at positions 338 to 795 of the family's 1533-position model. The record is from RNAcentral.